Molecule: ribosomal RNA, 1033 nt
Filed under: Ektaphelenchus masseyi
Lineage: Eukaryota; Metazoa; Nematoda; Chromadorea; Rhabditida; Aphelenchoididae
Description: SSU rRNA
Rfam family: Eukaryotic small subunit ribosomal RNA
Source: RNAcentral
UAACAAGACCGUUCUCUGAUGAGGUCGGUCAUUGGAAUGAGAACAAUCCAGACACUUUAACGAGUAUCUACGAGAGGGCAAGUCUGGUGCCAGCAGCCGCGGUAAUUCCAGCUCUCGUAAGGUAUAGAAUUAUUGCUGUGGUUAAAAAGUUCGUAGUUGGAUUUCGAUGUGAGCACGGGUCUGCCGAUUCGGUUAGUACUCGUUGCUUUCACUUUGUGUGUUCUUGUGCGUUGUGUGCUUGCAUGCAGCGUGCGCCACACAGGAUUACUUUGAACGGCUCAAGUGCUUAAAGCACGUCUUAUGACUGAAUACCGGUGCAUGGAAUAAUGGAAGAAGGCUUCGGCCGGGUUUUAUUGGUUUUGCUGGCUGAAACAAUGGUUAACAGGAACAGCCGGGGGCAUUCGUAUCGUUACGCGAGAGGUGAAAUUCGUGGACCGUAGCGAGACGCCCAAAAGCGAAGGCACUUGCCAAGAGUGUUUUCAUUAAUCAAGAACGAAAGUCAGAGGUUCGAAGGCGAUUAGAUACCGCCCUAGUUCUGACCGUAAACAAUGCCAACUGUCGAUCCGCUUGUGGAUUCUAUUCAUGAGCGGGGAGGUUCCCGGAAACGAAAGUUUUUCGGUUCCGGGGGAAGUAUGGUUGCAAAACUGAAACUUAAAGGAAUUGACGGAAGGGCACCACCAGGAGUGGAGCUUGCGGCUUAAUUUGACUCAACACGGGAAAUCUCACCCGGCCAGUACAUUAUAAGGAUUGACAGAUUGAUAGCUCUUUCAUGAUUUGGUGAAUGGUGGUGCAUGGCCGUUCUUAGUUCGUGGACUGAUUUGUCUGGUUUAUUCCGAUAACGAGCGAGACUUUGACUAUUAAAUAGUGCAGUUGUUUUCUUCUGAAUGCAAUUGAUCACUUCUUAAAGGAAUUUGGGGUUUCCAACCUCAAGAGAUUGAGCAAUAACAGGUCUGUGAUGCCCUUAGAUGUUCGGGGCCGCACGCGUGCUACAAUGAUGGUAACAGCGUGAUUGUCCUUUUCCAAAGGAAUUGGC